GCAGGACAAACAGGAUAAUUUAUUCUCAUUUUUCCUUAAAAGAAGGAUACAGUAGAAGUUUUAUAAUUCAGUAUGAUUAGACGUGAUUUAACUUGUUAAUCAAGUGCUUCCUAAAUUUAGGAACCAGUGACCAAGUGGCCUGAAAUAAGUCUUGAUCUUAUCUUUCCAGCUAUAAAUUAUUACUAUUUCAAGAAAACAAAAUAUUUUCUAAGCAACGUUAAGUUUUCUAAAAACUUCAAUUACCUUUUCUGGCUCAGUACCUGCCUGACUGAAAUGUUCAAAUGUUCAUAUUGCACACAAAAAAAUUUGAGCAGCAUACUAUAUGAGUGUGAGAAGCUGAUGAAUAUUAAGAUUGAGGAAACUCCCUAAUGAGUCACAUUUACAUGAUUUAAAUAUAUACUUUCUAUAUCUUUAAUUAAUAUAAGUAAAAAGGUAAUCUUUAGAACAGCACAGAAAUACAAAUGCAUUAGUUUUAUAAAAUAUAUUCAACCCCUUAUACGUGCAACAAUCUUUUAAUUUUGGAGCUGCCACAUAAGGGAGCUAG
RNAcentral lists this long non-coding RNA (544 nucleotides) under Bos taurus (domestic cattle). RNAcentral's name for it is "long non-coding RNA NONBTAT019775". The record is from RNAcentral. Lineage: Eukaryota; Metazoa; Chordata; Mammalia; Artiodactyla; Bovidae.